This 1573-nucleotide ribosomal RNA is filed under the name Salmonella enterica subsp. enterica serovar Fluntern. Its description in RNAcentral is "partial 23S ribosomal RNA". It matches the Rfam family "Bacterial large subunit ribosomal RNA", at positions 586 to 2141 of the family's 2925-position model. The record is from RNAcentral. Lineage: Bacteria; Pseudomonadati; Pseudomonadota; Gammaproteobacteria; Enterobacterales; Enterobacteriaceae.
GGGUGGGGUGACUGCGUACCUUUUGUAUAAUGGGUCAGCGACUUAUAUUCUGUAGCAAGGUUAACCGUAUAGGGGAGCCGCAGGGAAACCGAGUCUUAAUUGGGCGUUAAGUUGCAGGGUAUAGACCCGAAACCCGGUGAUCUAGCCAUGGGCAGGUUGAAGGUUGGGUAACACUAACUGGAGGACCGAACCGACUAAUGUUGAAAAAUUAGCGGAUGACCUGUGGCUGGGGGUGAAAGGCCAAUCAAACCGGGAGAUAGCUGGUUCUCCCCGAAAGCUAUUUAGGUAGCGCCUCGUGAAUUCAUCUCCGGGGGUAGAGCACUGUUUCGGCUAGGGGGCCAUCCCGGCUUACCAACCCGAUGCAAACUGCGAAUACCGGAGAAUGUUAUCACGGGAGACACACGGCGGGUGCUAACGUCCGUCGUGAAGAGGGAAACAACCCAGACCGCCAGCUAAGGUCCCAAAGUCAUGGUUAAGUGGGAAACGAUGUGGGAAGGCCCAGACAGCCAGGAUGUUGGCUUAGAAGCAGCCAUCAUUUAAAGAAAGCGUAAUAGCUCACUGGUCGAGUCGGCCUGCGCGGAAGAUGUAACGGGGCUAAACCAUGCACCGAAGCUGCGGCAGCGACGCUGAUGCGUUGUUGGGUAGGGGAGCGUUCUGUAAGCCUGUGAAGGUGGCCUGUGAGGGUUGCUGGAGGUAUCAGAAGUGCGAAUGCUGACAUAAGUAACGAUAAAGCGGGUGAAAAGCCCGCUCGCCGGAAGACCAAGGGUUCCUGUCCAACGUUAAUCGGGGCAGGGUGAGUCGACCCCUAAGGCGAGGCCGAAAGGCGUAGUCGAUGGGAAACGGGUUAAUAUUCCCGUACUUGGUGUUACUGCGAAGGGGGGACGGAGAAGGCUAUGUUGGCCGGGCGACGGUUGUCCCGGUUUAAGCGUGUAGGCGGGUGUUCCAGGUAAAUCCGGAACGCUGUUAACGCUGAGGCGUGAUGACGAGGCACUACGGUGCUGAAGCAACAAAUGCCCUGCUUCCAGGAAAAGCCUCUAAGCAUCAGGUAACAUCAAAUCGUACCCCAAACCGACACAGGUGGUCAGGUAGAGAAUACCAAGGCGCUUGAGAGAACUCGGGUGAAGGAACUAGGCAAAAUGGUGCCGUAACUUCGGGAGAAGGCACGCUGACACGUAGGUGAAGUGAUUUACUCAUGGAGCUGAAGUCAGUCGAAGAUACCAGCUGGCUGCAACUGUUUAUUAAAAACACAGCACUGUGCAAACACGAAAGUGGACGUAUACGGUGUGACGCCUGCCCGGUGCCGGAAGGUUAAUUGAUGGGGUCAGCGCAAGCGAAGCUCCUGAUCGAAGCCCCGGUAAACGGCGGCCGUAACUAUAACGGUCCUAAGGUAGCGAAAUUCCUUGUCGGGUAAGUUCCGACCUGCACGAAUGGCGUAAUGAUGGCCAGGCUGUCUCCACCCGAGACUCAGUGAAAUUGAACUCGCUGUGAAGAUGCAGUGUACCCGCGGCAAGACGGAAAGACCCCGUGAACCUUUACUAUAGCUUGACACUGAACAUUGAGCCUUGAUGUGUAG